AGUGAUGUUAACACAUAGACUGUAUAUAAAAAGUGCUAACACAGCAUAUCAUUAGCGAACACUCCAGCCGGUCAGUUUUUGGUUGUCAUGGUAAUGUAUUAUGUCCGACUAUUAACCACACCCCCAUUCUCUGUUUGAGAAAGAACGUUAACCAAAAACGGCAGUUAAAACUGGCUGGAGGGGCUUUAAGUACACAAGGUAAUUGUUCUGAACUUCAGUAUUUUCUUUUCAUGCCACUUUCUACGUCUACUUCACUACAUCUUGAAGGGAAAUGCUGCUCUUGCUAUCUUUGAUCACAGCUUAUGGAUCACAGGCAAGAGAUUUUGUCCAGGAAUCGUAAAAUCCAAACGCUAAAAAAACCAAAAAAAACUUUCUGAAAUGCGUGUGUCUCACCGUGAAUGCGUGAGACUUGAGAGCCCUGCUAACGUCAGCAUGCUAACAUGCUCACAAUGACAAUGCUAACAUGUCGAUAUAGCAAGUAUAAUGUUGCCAUGCAUUCACUAUCUUAAUUUAACGUGUUAGCACAUUGGUGACAUUUAGUAAUUAGCACUUAACACAACAGUUGUGUCAUGGUGGAACUAGAGGAAAAGUCAGUACAAACUUUUAUCCCAAUCCAUCCAAUAUUUGUUGAGUUGGACUGACCGACAGACAUUGCAAUGCCUAGAGCCACAACACUAGCAUGGCUAAAAACAGAGUUGUUUCUUUGGCUUAUGAAAAAUGACUGAAGAGCUUUUUGUGUCACUGGCAGAACGUACAAAUAUUACUGGUUCAAAUGUAAAUAAAAAAUAGUUUUAAGUGGAAUUGACGUGCUUUUGCUACACCUGUCUUAGCUCCAGUGGAGUUUUCAGAGGACAGGGUUUUGCCUACCUUUGCUCUCAGGACUGUGCAGCGUAAGGAGCUGGUGGCUCUCUCAUACAGUAGGUCAAACUCUAACGUCCCCAAGGAGGCUGGAAGACAGUUGAUGAAAAAGGGCCAAUUACUUUGCUGUCGAUCUCGAUGGAGGUGUCCAUGCUGCUCAUGGCUGACAGUGAGCCCCCUCCGCCCGCCACCCCUGGUAACAGUGGUGACAACAGGCUGCUGCUCCCUCCUCCACUAACGGCCCCACCUCCUUGGCCUACGCCGCCAGGGCUGAGGGCAGCGGGAGCUGCCACCUGAUUGGGUGAGAGCGGUUCAGAAAAGGAGGAAGUGGGCGAGAGGCGAGGGAAGUAGGCAGAGAUUUGACGGAUAGGGCGGAUGGGGCCCGGACAUACAUCGAUGGCCAUGUGCUCCUGGAUGGAGAUGGCUAAACUUUUUCCUUUUCGUACAGUCAUAGAGCUACAGGGACAGAGACAGAGAUGAAUGGAAGAAAAGUUAAUUCAUAUCACUUUUCAGCAAUACAACAACCAAAAUUGCCGAAGCAAGAGCGAUGACACAGAUACACAGAUACAACCUCUGCUAUUGGGCACAAAACAAGUUUCAAGUCCACACAGUCUCUGAAACUCUCCGUCUAUCAAAGAGAGGAGCGGGAAAGCUGUCACAUAGCACAGGCUGUUGAAUAGACUUACUGGUGGGGUUUUUUGGUGUUAUCUUUUUG
Long non-coding RNA from Micropterus dolomieu (smallmouth bass), 1573 nucleotides. RefSeq lists it as uncharacterized. The transcript has 3 exons. Lineage: Eukaryota; Metazoa; Chordata; Actinopteri; Centrarchiformes; Centrarchidae. The record is from RefSeq and is a predicted model, not a curated record.